AUUUGCCAGCAUUCAUUUAUUAACUGUAUGCCUUCAGUUUUUUAUGAACAUAAACUACAUCGCCUAAACUGGAUACUUUUUGAGUGUUCACACAACUAUCAUAAUUGGAAGUCCAUGCUGUUUUAGCUAGGAAUUCUUCCAUCCCCCCACACCGAAAGCUCCUUUGUCACACAAUACUUCUGCUGGCCAAAGCACUUUGUAAAGCCUACAACUUCACUGCUGAAAGGGAUGGAUUUGAUGAAGUAGAACACAGAACUCCAUGCCCUGAGAUGUUGUCAAAACAAGAGCAAAUUCAGAGGCAAAGAAAGAAGUCAAAUAUAUUUAGCCUGAAGUUGUAGUUAAGAGUGGAGCAGGUAAUAGACUGGCAGAUAGGCCCCAAAUUUAAACUGAGGAAUUGGAAAAGUAAACUUAUCAAGCCUUAAUAAGUUACCACAUAUCCCUGCUUGUCUGGAAAGUGCACACCUACUCCAGUUUAGAGCCACAGAGGGUUAAGGUUUCACAUAUCUCUGGCUGAACCUCAAGAUUUGGGUGAAAAAAGAGAUAAGAGAGAACCUCAGUGGAAAGUAAAUGUUGGGGAAGACUUGUAAACUGUCUCGACCUUGAAAGCAUUCUCUUACCCACACCCAUGUUCAUCAGCGAAAGGUGCUACUUUAUUGACCAAAGGAGUUUGAGUACAACCUCUGACCAAUCAUUGGCUGAUAUAUAAACUCAGUAAUUAUGAAACAUGAGGAGAAACAUCAGCAGUUGCACUGUGUGCAAAAUUACACACUCCACAGAAUUAAAUCAAGUAAAUCCUAACCAAACAAAUAUCAAUACAACCACAGCCUAUAAAAGGGAAAAAUCAGAAGUCAGAGUUGUUAUCACGUAUUAUACAAAACAUCAGUUUUCAUGGAAAAAUUAUGAGAUAUAUCAAAGAAGCAGGAGUGUGGUCCAUAUCAAAAUUAAAAAAAAAAAUUGAAAGAAACUGGCUGACUUAAAGUAUAUAUGUUGAAUUUAUUGG
RNAcentral lists this long non-coding RNA (1000 nucleotides) under Heterocephalus glaber (naked mole-rat). Its description in RNAcentral is "lncRNA (ENSHGLG00000046936.1)". Lineage: Eukaryota; Metazoa; Chordata; Mammalia; Rodentia; Bathyergidae. The record is from RNAcentral.